RNAcentral lists this ribosomal RNA (195 nucleotides) under Triticum aestivum (bread wheat). RNAcentral's name for it is "partial small subunit ribosomal RNA". The record is from RNAcentral. Lineage: Eukaryota; Viridiplantae; Streptophyta; Magnoliopsida; Poales; Poaceae.
AUGACCGUGACGCUCCAGGAUAUAGCUAUGAUCACCGGUCUUCCUAUCGAUGGGAAUCCUCUAUGUAUGAGCACCGAUUCUGAUGGGUGGCGCGAGCAGAUGCAUGCCCUUAUCGGUAUGGUUCCUCCGGAGCCUCGGGAACCAGAAGUAGAAGGCAAGAAGAAGGAAAGAGUCGCAACUUUCCUUCCUUCAUGA